UAGGUGCUGCACCUUCUACGGGGCGGAGUUCUAGUCAGUCUGUAACUACUCUGGUUAAACCGGGUUUUUCUGAUUCUGUGUGGGAACCUCCAUCAUUCUUGGGAAUAAAGUAUUCUUGGUUUCAGUUUUCAGGACAGACCAUGUUCCUAAAGCUAGCGACAUGUCUGUAUCUGAUUCUAAACGUGGCUAGGUUUGCUUUGACUCCCGUGACACAACCAUCCUUGGAUCACUCCUUUUCAGAACCUCCAAGUCCAACACCUCCAGGUCUUUGGACAUCUGAACACCUACUCUUUCAGCACGAUUCAGACACGGCAUACGUUUGAGAAACAAAAGGGGGGUGGGGAGCCUCCUCCCGCUUUGCGAGCAUCAUUUUCGCAUUUCCAGUUCACUACUAUUUCUGAUCACAACAAAGUCGCCUCCGUUAAGCUGCAACACAACUUUGAGCAGGUAAAAUCAGGUUCUGAUCUAACAGUUAAACCAUCAGCUUCGCUCCAGUUCCAAACGGAACCCUCAGGUAAAUUCAAACAAGUUUCCCUGUGGGUUCGUAACACAAGAUACAAACAGUUUGAUAACCAAAUCGCUUAUGAGCCUGCUCCCACAGAUACGUCCAAACUCGUGUCUCCUUGGGUCCGCAAUACCAGAUUCAAAACUCUAUUCUGACCGGAUUCUUUUCCACUGACUGGUGGACCGUUACAAAUUCUCUCGUUUGUGGGAUGAAUUUUUAACAAAUGUGAUAUCCUUUGAGUUUUUUUUUCAGGUUACCUGCCUCCAGCCAGGGUCCUGUUACUAACUCACAUUUUUAGGGGUUACUAACCUACUGAGUUACAUUUUUAGAACUGAUUUACAUCUCUAUCUUUUCUUAGUGCUUUGUGUAGCAUGGUUAUAUUUGAUUACAAAUUUAAUUUUAUUUUGUUGCUAUUUCCCUUAAAGGGCCACAAGCCAAUUUGCCCUUCAUUUUCAUGAUUAUUUCCUUUAUAUAUAUGCCUUUAAUUAAUGCAGCCUGCUGAGUUACACAUAUCAGUUAGGAUAUACUUUCUUUUAUUUGUGUUUUCCCUGCAUCACGUUUUUACAUGACACGUAGAACAGGGUGCAGUACAUUUCUUCUUUAGAUAAUUCACAAAAGGCACCCACAUUUUCCCAGAGGCACCCAUAGAUAGGUUUUGAUUGAUUUCUUUGUUUUGCAUCAAAUGCUAUCUAUCGUGUGGGCUGUCUCACUUUGUCUCCUUCUCCGAGCUCGUAUGGACUACAUCCCAUCAGAGGGGCCGUCUUCACCAUCCUUAAACUGGUUUCCUGUCGCAUGGGGCUUCGGUCGUGGUUCGAGAUGGGUCGAGGUCUGCGCUGGACUUCGCCUGGACUACGCCUGGGGAAUACAUCACCUGCCCAGCUCCGUGUGGCACACGAGCUGCUUAUCCUUUGCAUACCUUUGCAUUAUUGCUGAUGAAAUUAACUGCUAUUGGCAUAGCUCAGCUUUCAAGAUUUCCUAAGUGGAUUACUUUACAAUGAUUGCAACAGUUUUGGCCUUAAUCAUCUGAUCAGGAUAGACUCCCUUCUACACGAGACCUGUGGAGACGCUUCAUCGUUCCUGCCUUCAUCUGGGAUGUCUACCUUCACGAGUACAUCACGUUAUUGUGUUUGUAACGGCAGGUGGCCUGUGCUUGACCACCAUGUCGUCACAAAAAGGGGGGGUAUGUAACGUGAGGAAAUAUGGGUUUUCUAUCACAAAGGUGGUGUUGGACUCAGCUGUGUCAAAGCUGGGUCGCUGAGAACUUUCACCCACAGAUUAAGACCUGAACGCCAGCGAGUCUGGGAGGAAACCAUAACAUCUGCCACCUGCAGUCUACCAGAAGAUGUGUUUACAUGAGUUGUACCCAGACCAAGUCAAAACAUAAAGUUUAAACUUCUUUUUCUUGAUUUUAAUGUUAAAAUAACCAUUAUCAUUUUGCUCAUUAUAAAUGUGAUUAAUCAAA
Nothobranchius furzeri (turquoise killifish) is the source of this 1967-nucleotide non-coding RNA. NCBI's taxonomy places the organism in Eukaryota, Metazoa, Chordata, Actinopteri, Cyprinodontiformes, Nothobranchiidae. The record is from RefSeq and is a predicted model, not a curated record.